UUGCUUUGGCAGCACAUAUACUAAAAUUGGAACUAUACAGAGAAGAUUAGUAUGACCCCUACGCAAGGAUGACACACAAAUUUGUGGUGUUACAUAUUUUU
Molecule: small nuclear RNA, 101 nt
Organism: Ailuropoda melanoleuca (giant panda)
Lineage: Eukaryota; Metazoa; Chordata; Mammalia; Carnivora; Ursidae
Source: Ensembl